RNAcentral lists this ribosomal RNA (895 nucleotides) under uncultured bacterium. RNAcentral describes it as "bacterial SSU rRNA". It matches the Rfam family "Bacterial small subunit ribosomal RNA", at positions 8 to 916 of the family's 1533-position model. The record is from RNAcentral.
AGAGUUUGAUCAUGGCUCAGGAUGAACGCUAGCGGCGUGCCUAAUGCAUGCAAGUCGAACGGGAACCUUUGGAAUUAUUCUAAAGGCGAGAGUGGCGAACGGGCGAGUAACACGUUGGUGACCUGCCCCAGAGAGGGGGAUAACCAUUGGAAACGAUGGCUAAUACCCCAGAUGUCGUUACAGUUAGAGAGUAGCGACUAAAGCUCCGGCGCUCUGGGAGGGGCCUGCGGCCCAUCAGCUAGUUGGCAGGGUAACGGCCUACCAAGGCAAAGACGGGUAGGGGGCGUGAGAGCGUGACCCCCCACACUGGUACUGAAACACGGACCAGAUACCUACGGGUAGCAGCAGCAAGGAAUAUUGCCCAAUGGACGCAAGUCUGAGGCAGCAACGCCGCGUGGAGGAAGAAGGCCUUCGGGUUGUAAACUCCUUUUCUGGGGGAAGAGAAAGGACGGUACCCCAGGAAUAAGUCUCGGCUAACUACGUGCCAGCAGCCGCGGUAAAACGUAGGAGGCGAGCGUUAUCCGGAUUUACUGGGCGUAAAGCGCGUGCAGGCGGUUUUCUAAGUCGGACGUGAAAGCUCCUGGCUCAACUGGGAGAGGUCGUUCGAAACUAGGAGGCUUGAGGAUGGUAGAGGAGAGUGGAAUUCCCGGUGUAGUGGUGAAAUGCGUAGAUAUCGGGAGGAACACCAGUGGCGAAGGCGGCUCUCUGGGCCAUUCCUGACGCUAAGACGCGAAAGCUAGGGGAGAGAACGGGAUUAGAAACCCCGGUAUUCCUAGCCGUAAACGAUGUCAACUAGGUGUAGGGGGUAUCCAACCCCCCCUGUGCUGCAGCAAACGCGGUAAGUUGACCGCCUGGGGACUACGGCCGCAAGGCUAAAACUCAAAUGAAUUGACGG